UUACCGCAGUGCUACUCCCCCACCAGACUGCAAUACACAGCAGUGACUUACCCAAACGAUCUGCAGUGGAGCCAGCUCAUGAGUCUGAGUCCACGAAGUGCUUCUCCACCCUAUUUUGGUCCAAGUUGCUGAGCUGAUCUCUCUGCACCACAUUUCGCUCUUCAUAUACGCAAGGUGUCCUAAGGCCCAAUCCAACUCAAGCCUGGUAUUAUUAAUACAUGGACUCAGUCUUCAUCUUGGCACUGGUUCUCAGUUGCCCAGAGGAUUCCUCCAUCGUUGCACUGUCCUCUACCCUGUGACACUCGUGUCCUACUCUCCAUCAGGUCAAUACGGCCAGGAUCCAAUGCCAGGACUGGGAUGAUCAGAAAAGGAGGAUGGAUGUUUCUGCAAAGCCUUUUGCAUGUGACUGAUCAGAAAUGACCCAAGCAAAACCAAGAAGCGUUAGCUGAACCUUCAGCAACCUCACCAUCGUGGACGCUGCUGAAUUGAGAGCCUCCAGAAUAUGUCCUCUGACAUUCUGCAUGACAUAGCCCAUUUGUAAUCUUGCAUACCUGAAGAUUUGUCACUUAAGUUAUUCCUACAGAAAACAUGCAGAAGAAUAAGACCUAGAAUUAUGCCUUUGAAGGGAAAAGCUGCAGCAAUGACUAACUGAAAGGGCU
Molecule: long non-coding RNA, 659 nt
Organism: Tyto alba (common barn owl)
Lineage: Eukaryota; Metazoa; Chordata; Aves; Strigiformes; Tytonidae
Exons: 5
Source: RefSeq, a predicted model, not a curated record